RNAcentral lists this long non-coding RNA (405 nucleotides) under Carica papaya (papaya). Its description in RNAcentral is "long non-coding RNA (CPAP_LNC010244)". The record is from RNAcentral. Lineage: Eukaryota; Viridiplantae; Streptophyta; Magnoliopsida; Brassicales; Caricaceae.
AUUACUGCCUAAUAUAAGGAAUUCUGUUGAAUUCUAAUGCAGGUAUAAGUGUAGGAGCCAAUUUUAGAAAGGCCCCUUGUAGCAGCUCCGGAAAUUCAUAAUGAAAUGUAUAUUAAAAAUAUCAAAUGCGGAAGCGAAGUCAAAAUUUGAAUAACAUCCCUUACACCAAAAUCAAAAACGUGCUCACAAAAUAUAAAAGAUCAAACUAUCUAAGGGAGAAACUUGAAAGUAAAAACUACGAAUGUGACUAUGGAGUCUUUAGGCGUCCCCUUCGUCGUCCUCCUGCUGAACCGGCUCGGGAACGAUGUCCUCUUGAUCUGAAAUGAUUAAAUAAGAAAUGAGCUACACUAGCCCAGUAAAGACAUCACGAUAUCUCACCGUCACGGAGGUAAAGGUGGGUAGAAA